UAUCAUUAACUGAAUCCAUAGGUUAAUGAGGCGAACCGGGGGAACUGAAACAUCUAAGUACCCCGAGGAAAAGAAAUCAACCGAGAUUCCCCCAGUAGCGGCGAGCGAACGGGGAGGAGCCCAGAGCCUGAAUCAGCAUGUGUGUUAGUGGAAGCGUCUGGAAAGGCGCGCGAUACAGGGUGACAGCCCCGUACACAAAAGCGCAUGUGCUGUGAGCUCGAUGAGUAGGGCGGGACACGUGGUAUCCUGUCUGAAUAUGGGGGGACCAUCCUCCAAGGCUAAAUACUCCUGACUGACCGAUAGUGAACCAGUACCGUGAGGGAAAGGCGAAAAGAACCCCGGCGAGGGGAGUGAAAAAGAACCUGAAACCGUGUACGUACAAGCAGUGGGAGCCCCACCACCAAAGCAUUUGCUGUACCGCGUUGACGGAGCGAAGCGACGUCAAACCGAUAAAACAGCAGUGUAAAGUGAGCCGCAGGGCGCUUUGCGCGACAGCGCAAAGGCAGGCGGUUUCGCGUAGCGAAAGCGAAUGCUUUGGGGUGGGGUGACUGCGUACCUUUUGUAUAAUGGGUCAGCGACUUAUAUUCUGUAGCAAGGUUAACCGAAUAGGGGAGCCGGAGGGAAACC
This 627-nucleotide ribosomal RNA is filed under the name Salmonella enterica subsp. enterica serovar Enteritidis. Its description in RNAcentral is "partial 23S ribosomal RNA". It matches the Rfam family "Bacterial large subunit ribosomal RNA", at positions 149 to 678 of the family's 2925-position model. Lineage: Bacteria; Pseudomonadati; Pseudomonadota; Gammaproteobacteria; Enterobacterales; Enterobacteriaceae. The record is from RNAcentral.